UCCUUCCUCAGGCAUAACUGACAGUUUAUGGAGCAAAUAGUGCUCACUGUGCAUGUGCAAUGUAAAUGGGGAGGUCUUCUGUGCUCGUUUGCACAUAUCCUCCACCUCUUCCUCAGGAGUCACAGCAACCCACCUUGGAGUUCAGCUUCCGGCAGGCUGCCGAUCCCAUGGUUCCACAAGAUGGCAGUGUCGUACACAAAUGUGAGCCGGAGUUCCGACUUCAAGUCGAAAUGCUGCCAGCCUCCCACCCCCACGGGGGAAUGGAACACGUAGGAAACGUACAGAGGAACUCGAAGGGUCACGUAGGACUGCACGAGGUUUAGGACCUAAGACAAUGAAAUCAUCCCCGUCAGUGUUAACCAAACCAGGCCAAGUCUGCAGAAUUUCACAGCACUGUGUUUUCCUCACUUCACACACAAUGUCACCACUGUCAUCGGCACGGGGAUGUUCACCAUUUCCAGCAAUACAUAACGGCAACUUUAUGAAGGCAGUCUCAUGCACAUAAUUCACCCACUUAAGUGGAUAAGUCAAUAGUUUUUUGAUGUAUCCAAGGAACCAUGCAACCACCACCACAAUCAACUUUAGGAAGUGUUCAUUGCAUCCACAGGAAUCUAGCACCCAGGAGAAGUCACCCUCCUCAUGGUGUGGGUGACUGCUAAUCCAUGCCCUGUAUUUGCCUCCUCUGAGCACAUAGAAAUGGAUCUUGUCAGUUGCUCUUCUUUCGAUGCGUUACUGCCUUUUAUUAAGGGAUAACAGCAUAAUAUAUAGAUAUAUUCUUUUUUAUUGACCCUCAGAGGAAUGGUGUGAAUUUGGAACUAUUAUGCAAAAUGCAUCUCUGAACUAUUUUUUAAUCAUAUAGAGGAAGUUAGGAUGAACAUAAAGAUGUAAAAAAUACACGUUUAGCAAUGGCAUGGUGCAGUUAUGAUAUUUCAAAACAAAUGAACUGUCUUUGAAUUUUAUAUUUUCUUUCUUCUGGUAUUCAACAGUGGGGUAAGGGAGGUCAAGAGAAUAAAUUAAUACGUAUCAAGAAUCUACCAAA
Peromyscus eremicus (cactus mouse) is the source of this 1039-nucleotide long non-coding RNA. RefSeq lists it as uncharacterized. NCBI's taxonomy places the organism in Eukaryota, Metazoa, Chordata, Mammalia, Rodentia, Cricetidae. The transcript has 2 exons. The record is from RefSeq and is a predicted model, not a curated record.